Molecule: ribosomal RNA, 524 nt
Filed under: uncultured bacterium
Lineage: Bacteria
Description: partial 16S ribosomal RNA
Rfam family: Bacterial small subunit ribosomal RNA
Source: RNAcentral
GACGAACGCUGGCGGCGUGCCUAAUACAUGCAAGUCGAGCGCAGGAAAUCAUCCGAACCCUUCGGGGGGACGUUGAUGGAAUGAGCGGCGGACGGGUGAGUAACACGUAAAGAACCUGCCCUCAGGUCUGGGAUAACCACGAGAAAUCGGGGCUAAUACCGGAUGGGUCAUCGGACCGCAUGGUCCGAGGAUGAAAGGCGCUUCGGCGUCGCCUGGGGAUGGCUUUGCGGUGCAUUAGCUAGUUGGUGGGGUAAUGGCCCACCAAGGCGACGGUGCAUAGCCGACCUGAGAGGGUGAUCGGCCACACUGGGACUGAGACACGGCCCAGACUCCUACGGGAGUCAGCAGUAGGGAAUCUUCCACAAUGGACGAAAGUCUGAUGGAGCAACGCCGCGUGAACGAGGAAGGCCUUCGGGUCGUAAAGUUCUGUUGUAAGGGAAGAACAAGUGCCGCAGGCAAUGGCGGCACCUUGACGGUACCUUGCGAGAAAGCCACGGCUAACUACGUGCCAGCAGCCGCCGUAA